GGAAAAGAAGGUCCUUUUUCAUUUCUUUUCCUUUUCUCUCUCUUUCUUUCCCCCUCCCUGUCCCUGCAUUUCCUCCAUCAUUAACGUUGUUCUUCUUCUAAUACAGUAAACAUUGCAGGAUUUGAUAGGCUGCAGGAGAAAAAUUCAGGGCAUUUUUUUUAAUUAAUGGUGGUGGUAAAGUUUGAAGUUUUGAGAGCUAAAGAAGGGAUUGUUUGAGCUGUAUUCAUCAAACUUCUAUGCCAAGGAGGCCAAGAAGGGUGGUGAAACUGGAGUCUGCUUGCAAAUGUCAAAGUCUUCAUCCCCUAAAUCCAGGGUUAAAAAUGCUUCAUCUUCUUGUCA
This is a non-coding RNA of Coffea arabica (coffee), 339 nucleotides long. The record is from RefSeq and is a predicted model, not a curated record. NCBI's taxonomy places the organism in Eukaryota, Viridiplantae, Streptophyta, Magnoliopsida, Gentianales, Rubiaceae.